CGGUGAAUACGUUCCCGGGCCUUGUACACACCGCCCGUCACACCAUGAGAGUCGAUAACACCCGAAGCCUGUGAGCUAACCGUAAGGAGGCAGCAGUCGAAGGUGGGGUUGAUGAUUGGGGUGAAGUCGUAACAAGGUAGC
This 141-nucleotide ribosomal RNA is filed under the name uncultured bacterium. Its description in RNAcentral is "partial 16S ribosomal RNA". It matches the Rfam family "Bacterial small subunit ribosomal RNA", at positions 1360 to 1500 of the family's 1533-position model. The record is from RNAcentral.